Molecule: ribosomal RNA, 426 nt
Filed under: Triticum aestivum (bread wheat)
Lineage: Eukaryota; Viridiplantae; Streptophyta; Magnoliopsida; Poales; Poaceae
Description: partial small subunit ribosomal RNA
Source: RNAcentral
AUGUGUGUACCAAAUAAAGAAGGGGGAAUGUGUUUCAGAUAUAUACAUUGUUUCAAUCUUGCUCUAUUGGCCAAACAAGCUUGUAGUUUGAUAGAUAAUCCUGAGUCCCUUUGUGCCACAAUACUUUGUGCAAAAUAUUUUCCUGAUGGCAACUUGCUUAAUGCCACUUUGAAGAAGAAGGCAUCUUAUACAUGGCAGAGUAUUAUGGAAGGAGUGAGUACACUCAAGCUGGGACAUGUUUGGCGAGUUGGAGAUGGGAAAAAUAUUAAUAUUUGGUAUGAUGCAUGGAUACCACGGUCUCCAUCUAGACUGGCGGUGACUAGAAGGGGUAAUCAACUACUCUCUAAGGUGGAUGAUUUGAUUGACCCGACUGUCGGUGUCAAAACCGGCGGAUCUCGAGUAGGGGGUCCCGAACUGUGUGUCUAA